GCGCGCAGGCGCAGAUAUAAAAGGGAGAGGUCCGCUCUGCCGCUGCUUGUUACAGAACGCUAUCUUGUAUAAUCCGUUUCGUUUUGUUUGUAGCGUUUAUCAGAAUGUUUAUUUUCCUGUUUUAUAUUCCAUCCUUGACAUGUAUGCGAAGAGUGCGAACUAUCCACAAGGAUUACCAGUUCUGUCCUUUGGGUGUUUUCUUCUCGCCCAAUCACACCAACCCGUCACACCAACUCAUUCCGUUUUCCAGGACAGUUUUGUUCAACAAAUUCUGCUGCAAAGAUGUUAGACCCUCCAUAGGAUAACAAGCAGGCUUGUUGUGCUCCUGAAAAUUAUGAAAGAAAACUAAAAAUGUAAAACUAUGCCAUCCACAUUAAUUCUGCAAGAAUCAGAUAAAUUCAAAUUUCUUUCCGAAAUAUUUCUGCCCUUUCGAAAUCGGAUAGCCUACAGUGUAAGAUUGCAUUCGUUUGAAACAUUACUGAGAUUGUCCUACCUGCCCCUGGAAAUAUUCACAACAAUGGCUUCACCGAGAGGUCACCAUCGGCGCGGAAGCAUGGAUGAACCAGUUUUCAUGUCAGCUGAUAUUAUUCAUCUUGAAGAGGAAUUGAAUAGACCUCAAAAGGACAUUUUCCCAGAAUGCAAAAAGCAUUUGGAGAAAGUUCGUGAUCUCGUGAAUGAGUCUGCAAAUGAUCAUGGCCUUGCUAUUUAUGCAUGCAGAGGAGUAGCAAUAACUUUAGGAAUCGCGAUUGUGUUGUUGGGAUUACCUUUUUAUUUAAUUGAUGAAGAGGUUUUUGAUAUUGUUGCUGCAGGAGGGGCAGCUGCGGCUGUAGUUACUCUAUUAUGUGCUGCUUUUAGACGAAACAGGGAAACACAUCAGAAGAAGAACUUAAAACGAUCUAUCGAAGAGGAAUUUAAGGGAUUUCAGGAUAAAAUGAACCUUAUUAUUGACAUAUUGGAAAAAAACAGUCAACGCACUGAGGAAAUAUUGAGAGACCCUUCACUAUCAGACCACAUUGCCCAGGCAUUAAGUGAACAUUUUGCCUACUGCUUUGAAAAGAGGCACGUCUUCCAGGAACAUGACAGGAGUAAAGUGGGUGACCAGAUGUCUAAAAUUGUGCAUUUGUCUGGAAACAUUUCAGAAAUGAUCGCCAAGAUUAGUUCUGUGCCUGAUAUCCUCAAAGAGAUUAUCGAAGACAACAAGAAGCACCGUGGAAAACCUGCAAAACCCAGACAAGAACUAAUAAAUAAAAGAGAGUUUAAGGAGAAAGUAGAUAAAUUCAUUAAUGAUAUGCAGAAAGGAAUAUGUAUGAUAAAAAAUAGAGUGAAAGAUAUCAACCAAUCAAUAGACAGUAUAUCAGAUAUUUUGAGUUGAACCUGACAAAAUUAAAAAGUAUGAACUGCUGAGACAGAACUUGUUCUUGGAUCCACCUGACAGAGAACAACACAAACAGUGACCGAUAUUACAUUGGCAGUGUUGAAUAAUUUCAGUGUUUCAUUGUCCUACAACAAUUAAUGUUAACAUUGUCAAAAGUUAG
Molecule: long non-coding RNA, 1535 nt
Organism: Cyprinus carpio carpio
Lineage: Eukaryota; Metazoa; Chordata; Actinopteri; Cypriniformes; Cyprinidae
Source: Ensembl